CUUUUUUAUAAAAUAACCCUCUAAAAUUUAAAAAUUUACGAAAUAACCCUCUCAAAAUUUUAUGCGGAAAACUAACCUUUCUUUCGCCACAUCGGCGCCACAUCAGAAUUUCUUUUAAAAGCGGUGAAUCAUUCCCCGCUUUCUCCCCUUUUUUUUAAAGGCGGUAAAUGAUUCCCUGCUUUCUCCCAUUUCUUUUAAAGACGGUGAAUCAUUCACCGCCUUUCACGUAUUUACUGUUUUUUUUUAUAUUCGAUAAAUAAUCCUAACAACCACAUAAAAAUUUUAUAAAAUCACAUAUAAUCUUAACAACUUUUAAAUCAUAAUAAUUUAUCCAUAUAAUUUCAUAUAAUCUUAACCGCCUGAAAAUCCUAAUAAUCUAUCCAUACAAUCCUAAUAAUCAAAUAAAAAUUCUAAUGAUCCACAUAUAAUCCUAACAACCUCACUUUUUUCUAUUUCCUAUAUGAUCCAGCACAAUUUUAAUAAAUAAAUGCGGUGAACGAUUCACCGCAUUUAAAAGAAAUAAAAGAAAGCGGGAAACAAGAAAAAAGCGAGAAACGAUUCACAGCCUUAAAAAAAAUGAGAAAAAACGGAGAACGAUUCACCGUCUUUGUUAAGGAAAAUCCUGACAUGGCGCCCACGUGGCGAAAGAAGGAUUAGUUUUGCAAAUAAAAUUUUUACAAAGUCACUUUGUCAAUUACAGUUUUUUGAAGGGUCAUUUUAUAAAAAAGCCCCAGCUCGACUUCUACAUGCAAAUCUUACAUAUAUCAGACAAAAAUAUGAAUGGCUUAUUAUUACUUCAAGAAUUUGUACAUUGAUAUGGUAAAUUCAUGGAAAUAUAUAUAAUCGAAACAGAUCCAAGCAAAAGGAUNAAUAAUCUAUCCAUACAAUCCUAAUAAUCAAAUAAAAAUUCUAAUGAUCCACAUAUAAUCCUAACAACCUCACUUUUUUCUAUUUCCUAUAUAAUCCAGCACAAUUUUAAUAAAUAAAUACGGUGAACGAUUCACCGCAUUUAAAAGAAAUAGAAGAAAGCGGGAAACGAUUCACCGCUUUUAAAAGAAAAGAAAAAAGCGAAAAACGAUUCACCGCCUUAAAAAAAAUGAGAGAGAACGGAGAACGAUUCACCGUCUUUGUAAGGAAAUCCUGACGUGGCGUCCACGUGGCGAAAUGAGAAUUAGUUUUACAAAUAAAAUUUUUACAGGAUCAUUUUGUCAAUUACAGUUUUUUGGAGGGUCAUUUUAUAAAAAA
This 1245-nucleotide long non-coding RNA is filed under the name Ananas comosus (pineapple). Its description in RNAcentral is "long non-coding RNA (ACOM_LNC033363)". The record is from RNAcentral. Lineage: Eukaryota; Viridiplantae; Streptophyta; Magnoliopsida; Poales; Bromeliaceae.